This 448-nucleotide ribosomal RNA is filed under the name uncultured bacterium. RNAcentral describes it as "partial 16S ribosomal RNA". It matches the Rfam family "Bacterial small subunit ribosomal RNA", at positions 330 to 792 of the family's 1533-position model. The record is from RNAcentral.
GCCAGACUCCUACGGGAGGCAGCAGUGGGGGAUAUUGCACAAUGGGGGAAACCCUGAUGCAGCGACGCCGCGUGAGCGAAGAAGUAUUUCGGUAUGUAAAGCUCUAUCAGCAGGGAAGAAAAAAAUGACGGUACCUGAGUAAGAAGCACCGGCUAAAUACGUGCCAGCAGCCGCGGUAAUACGUAGGGGGCAAGCGUUAUCCGGAUUUACUGGGUGUAAAGGGAGCGUAGACGGUAGAGCAAGUCUGAAGUGAAAGCCCGCGGCUCAACUGCGGGACUGCUUUGGAAACUGUUCAACUGGAGUGCUGGAGAGGUAAGCGGAAUUCCUAGUGUAGCGGUGAAAUGCGUAGAUAUUAGGAGGAACACCAGUGGCGAAGGCGACUUACUGGACAGUAACUGACGUUGAGGCUCGAAAGCGUGGGGAGCAAACAGGAUUAGAUACCCUUGUA